Molecule: ribosomal RNA, 410 nt
Filed under: uncultured bacterium
Lineage: Bacteria
Description: bacterial SSU rRNA
Rfam family: Bacterial small subunit ribosomal RNA
Source: RNAcentral
UGGGGAAUCUUGCGCUAAUGCGCGAAAGCGUGACGCAGCGACGCCGCGUGGGGGAUGAAGGCCCUCGGGUCGUAAACCCCUUUCGCCAGGGAAGAAGGGAAACUGACGGUACCUGGAGAAGAAGUCCCGGCUAACUACGUGCCAGCAGCCGCGGUAACACGUAGGGGACGAGCGUUGUCCGGAUUUAUUGGGCGUAAAGCGCGCGUAGGCGGCCCGGAAAGUCGGUUGUGAAAACCCGGGGCUCAACCCCGGGCCUGCAUCCGAUACUUCCGGGCUGGAGGCAGGUAGGGGAGAUCGGAAUUCCUGGUGUAGCGGUGAAAUGCGCAGAUAUCAGGAGGAACACCGGUGGCGAAGGCGGAUCUCUGGGCCUUGCCUGACGCUGAGGCGCGAAAGCUAGGGGAGCGAACAGG